UACGUAGGGUGCAAGCGUUAAUCGGAAUUACUGGGCGUAAAGCGUGCGCAGGCGGCUUUGCAAGACAGAUGUGAAAUCCCCGGGCUUAACCGGGGAACUGCGUCUGAUACUGGAUGGCUGGAGUUUGGGAGAGGGAUGCGGAAUUCCAGGUGUAGCGGUGAAAUGCGUAGAUAUCUGGAGGAACACCGGUGGCGAAGGCGGCAUCCUGGACCAAUACUGACACUGAGGAGCGAAAGCCAGGGGAGCAAACGGG
Molecule: ribosomal RNA, 253 nt
Filed under: uncultured bacterium
Lineage: Bacteria
Description: partial 16S ribosomal RNA
Rfam family: Bacterial small subunit ribosomal RNA
Source: RNAcentral